This 1016-nucleotide ribosomal RNA is filed under the name bioreactor metagenome. RNAcentral's name for it is "bacterial SSU rRNA". It matches the Rfam family "Bacterial small subunit ribosomal RNA", at positions 8 to 1032 of the family's 1533-position model. The record is from RNAcentral.
AGAGUUUGAUCCUGGCUCAGGAUGAACGCUGGCGGCGUGCCUAAUACAUGCAAGUCGAACGCACUAGUUUACUAGUGAGUGGCGAACGGGUGAGUAACACGUAGGUAACCUGCCCUUAAGACGAGGAUAACCAUUGGAAACGAUGGCUAAGACUGGAUAGGAAUAUUUAAGGCUAUCUUAAAUAUUUUAAAAGACCUAGCAAUAGGUAUGCUUAAGGAGGGGCCUGCGGCGCAUUAGUUAGUUGGUGAGGUGAGAGCUCACCAAGACGAUGAUGCGUAGCCGGACUGAGAGGUUGAACGGCCACAUUGGGACUGAGAAACGGCCCAAACUCCUACGGGAGGCAGCAGUAGGGAAUUUUCGGCAAUGGAGGAAACUCUGACCGAGCAACGCCGCGUGAAUGACGAAGUACUUCGGUAUGUAAAGUUCUUUUAUCAAGGAAGAAUGACUUGUGGAAAAACAAGAGUGACGGUACUUGAUGAAUAAGCCCCGGCUAACUAUGUGCCAGCCAGCCGCGGUAAUACAUAGGGGCAAGGCGUUAUCCGGAAUUAUUGGGCGUAAAGGGUGCGUAGGCGGUCGAUUUAAGUCUUUGGUGUAAGUGCAAGGCUCAACCUUGUGAUGCUAAGGAAACUGGAUGACUUGAGUGUGAUAGAGGUAAGUGGAAUUCCAUGUGUAGCGGUAAAAUGCGUAAAUAUAUGGAGGAACACCAGUGGCGAAGGCGGCUUACUGGGUCACAACUGACGCUGAGGCACGAAAGCGUGGGGAGCAAACAGGAUUAGAUACCCUGGUAGUCCACGCCGUAAACGAUGAGUACUAAGUGUUGGAGAAAUUCAGUGCUGUAGUUAACGCAAUAAGUACUCCGCCUGAGUAGUACGUACGCAAGUAUGAAACUCAAAGGAAUUGACGGGACCCCGCACAAGCGGUGGAUCAUGUUGUUUAAUUCGAUGAUACGCGAAAAACCUUACCAGGUCUUGACAUCCCAUGCAAAGCUUAAGAGAUUAAGUGGAGGUUACCAUGGA